RNAcentral lists this ribosomal RNA (403 nucleotides) under uncultured bacterium. Its description in RNAcentral is "partial 16S ribosomal RNA". It matches the Rfam family "Bacterial small subunit ribosomal RNA", at positions 28 to 526 of the family's 1533-position model. The record is from RNAcentral.
GACGAACGCUGGCGGCGUGCUUAAUACAUGCAAGUCGAACGCAGUGGGGAUGGGUGAGUAACACGUUGGUAACCUCCCAUCAGAGGGGAUAACACUUGGAAACAGGCGCUAAACCGCUACUGAUGGCUGGACCCGCUGUGCAUUAGCUAGUUGGUGAGGGAACGGCUCACCAAGGCCAAGAUGCAUAGCCGACCUGAGAGGGUGAUCGGCCACACUGGGACUGAGACACGGCCCAGACUCCUACGGGAGGAAGCAGUAGGGAAUCUUCGGCAAUGGACGAAAGUCUGACCGGGCAACGCCGCGUGAGGGAAGAAGGUUUUCGGAUCGUAAGACUCUGUUGUUAGAGAAGCGGUAUCUAACCAGAAAGCCACGGCUAACUACGUGCCAGCCGCCGCGGUAAUUC